CUUGAACUCCUGGCCUCAAGUGAUCUACCCACCUCAGCCUCUCAAAGUGCUGAGAUUAAAGGCAUGAGCCACCACGCCUGGCCUAUGUGCAUAUUUUAAUCAAAGUAUGAUCAUAAUUUGACCUUUUUAUUCAACCAUAUAAAUCAGUUUCUGUUUCAAUAAGUCAAUAUCUGCUUCCACAUUACUUUAAAUAGUUUCUGUCAUGCUGAUGAUAUAUACCACAAUUGAUUCAACCCAUUCACUGGGAACAAAAGAAUAAUUAUGACGAUCAGAGCAGUAACUAACCACUGAGCACUUAACACACGUUAGGAACAAUGGCGAUGUUACAUACAACAUUUCUUUUUUUUUUUUUUCCGAGAUGGAGUCUCGCUCUCUCGCACUGGCUGCCCAGAUCUCGGCUCACUGCAACCUCUGCCUCCCUGGUAUAAGGCAUGGCAGUCAGCCAACAGCAGGCAUCAUCAGACAACUUGGAAGAGGCUCAGAGGCAGAAACUGAAGUGUGAUGCUGCAUAUCUGGGGGAUGUGAACUGUACAUCUGCACACUGACAGAGAAAACCCAAAUGCUUGAUCCUGAAUCCACUAUGAAGGCAUGACCCUGGGCCCUCGCUGUGAUCAAUGGGACCUGAUAGAAAGUCUGCAGGUGGGUAAUUGGGAGAGGUUUUCCUCACUACUAAAAAGCAAUGCACAGGAGCAAAUGCCUUUCUUCUUUGGAGAUGAAACGUCUGCUUGUAACACCUGGAAGUGCUUUGACCAUCUCUUAACUAUGAGGAAAGACACUGCAGACAUAACAAGGACAAAAGAGCAGAAAGAUAGAAAAUAUUUGGGUCCUGCUGCUAUCCCUAAGCCACUGAAUUAGCCAGCCCCAGAAUGGCUCACCUCCAGAUUUUCUGGAGCAUGAGAUAGUCACUGUUCUAAUUAUUUAAGCUGCUUUAGUUGGGUUUCCGGUUACUUGGAGCUGAAAGUACCCUAAUUAACACAUUUAUAGGAUGUUUCUCUUUAAAGAUAGAGAAAAUACCAAGAUUUUAUAAAGAUGAAGUCUUCUAUGACUCCCUUAGGAAGCAUUAGGUCCAAAUCCUCCUAUUGUUCACAUAGCAAUAAGUAUUUCAUCU
This is a non-coding RNA of Chlorocebus sabaeus (green monkey), 1108 nucleotides long. NCBI's taxonomy places the organism in Eukaryota, Metazoa, Chordata, Mammalia, Primates, Cercopithecidae. The record is from RefSeq and is a predicted model, not a curated record.